ACAGCGGUGCCCGUUUAUGCUGCGAUUGAUGGCUGGAAGUCCAAUGGCACCCCACUCCAGUACUCUUGCCUGGAAAGUCCCAUGGACAGAGGAGCCUGGUAGGCUGCAGUCCACGGGAUCGCGAAGAGUCGGACACGACUGAAGCGACUUAGCAGUAGCAGCAGCAGAUGGCUGAAAAUCAGAGCAUGUUGUGCUGGAGAUCACGGAGUUUGAACAAAAAUGAAUAAUGAACAUCUUUACGUGGAGUUCUCCCGAACCAAUUCCAAGAGGUGGACUAGAAGGCUGGAGUAUGACGGAUGACAACCACCAUCAAUUAGGAACAGGAAAACUAAUGGUUGCUGCUAGAUGCUCUGUGUCACCAGUCAGAUUGGCAAAAACUAAAAAGGAUGAUAAGAUCCUAUUUUGGUUAAUGUGUGAGCACAUAUAAGGACUUAAAUGGUCUUGAGUAUAGGUUAAUUUAGCCAUUGUUAUU
Long non-coding RNA from Dama dama (fallow deer), 472 nucleotides. RefSeq lists it as uncharacterized. The record is from RefSeq and is a predicted model, not a curated record. Lineage: Eukaryota; Metazoa; Chordata; Mammalia; Artiodactyla; Cervidae. The transcript has 3 exons.